RNAcentral lists this ribosomal RNA (430 nucleotides) under uncultured Desulfobulbus sp. RNAcentral describes it as "bacterial SSU rRNA". It matches the Rfam family "Bacterial small subunit ribosomal RNA", at positions 957 to 1382 of the family's 1533-position model. The record is from RNAcentral. Lineage: Bacteria; Pseudomonadati; Thermodesulfobacteriota; Desulfobulbia; Desulfobulbales; Desulfobulbaceae.
CAACGCGAAGAACCUUACCUGGUCUUGACAUCCCGGAGACCCUUAGGAAACUAGGGGUGCUUCCAUCUGGAAGAAUCUGGAGACAGGUGCUGCAUGGCUGUCGUCAGCUCGUGUCGUGAGAUGUUGGGUUAAGUCCCGCAACGAGCGCAACCCUUGCCUUUAGUUGCCAGCAGUUCGGCUGGGCACUCUAAAGGGACUGCCGGUGUUAAACCGGAGGAAGGUGGGGAUGACGUCAAGUCCUCAUGGCCUUUAUGACCAGGGCUACACACGUACUACAAUGGCCGAUACAAAGGGCAGCGACACUGCGAGGUGAAGCCAAUCCCGUAAAAUCGGUCUCAGUCCGGAUUGGAGUCUGCAACUCGACUCCAUGAAGUUGGAAUCGCUAGUAAUCGUGGAUCAGCAUGCCACGGUGAAUACGUUCCCGGGCCUU